Pelobates cultripes (western spadefoot toad) is the source of this 238-nucleotide non-coding RNA. The record is from the annotation of a GenBank genome assembly. NCBI's taxonomy places the organism in Eukaryota, Metazoa, Chordata, Amphibia, Anura, Pelobatidae.
CUACGCUGAUUACACUGAGCGGGUUAUCUGCUCAGGUAAAUGUGUUUUAUUCAUAUAUAUUUCUUCUCCUGGAUAUAUAUAUAUAUAUAUUUAUACAGAGAGCACUAUCCGUUGUACCUUUGUUUGUAUUUUUACAUAUCCUGCUGACAAGAUACGCAUUGGCCUAUAUCUUCUACCAUAUCCCUGAAGUGGGGGAAUAAUACCACUGCAAGCGCUUCACACUAGAGCUGGUUUUAAG